RNAcentral lists this transfer RNA (74 nucleotides) under Coriobacteriaceae bacterium. RNAcentral describes it as "tRNA-Gly". It matches the Rfam family "tRNA". From Rfam's summary of the family: Transfer RNA (tRNA) molecules are approximately 80 nucleotides in length. Their secondary structure includes four short double-helical elements and three loops (D, anti-codon, and T loops). The record is from RNAcentral. RNAcentral also lists the same sequence under 4 other names. Lineage: Bacteria; Bacillati; Actinomycetota; Coriobacteriia; Coriobacteriales; Coriobacteriaceae.
GCGGGUGUAGUUCAUCGGUAGAACCACAGCCUUCCAAGCUGUUGAGGCGGGUUCGACUCCCGUCACCCGCUCCA